GUUGGACUCUUGAGUACUCUGUGAUAUCUAAUGAGGGGAGGUGGUGUUUGGGGAAGGUUCAAUCUUUGGAAGACAGAAAUUCAAGGUUAACAGGAAGCAAACUGACAAGAGUCAAUUUCAGAUUUUUUGUUCACAAUAAUUGCCGUUGUGUAAGAAGAAAGGAUUGAAUGAGAAAAUCUCUGCCCGUGAAAGAUGCUUCCGAUGGUCUCUAGCAGAAGCUCCUUAGUGUGGUCAACUGUCAGUGUAUCCCCACAACUACCCUGAAACCACAAAACAUUCUAUUUGAUUAAAAAUUAAUGUUAUAUUAGAGAAGCAGAGUACCAUCUUGAUCUUUAAAGCUGUGAGGUUUUGAGUUCGGAAAGUACUAUCAGGUACCUCACAUGACGAAACAAGCAUUGCUCCUUAAGGGGUGGUAACAUUGGUGUCAGAGAGUUCGAGGCCGAUAUAAGUCAUGGGUUCUAUUAAUCUGGUGAACUUCCAUCUUUUCUUCUCCAAGAUAAUCUUAAUCCAUAGCUUAUUCCCAUCGAUUUAGUCACCUGAACAUCUUCCUACAAAAAAUGGCAUAAAUAAAAAGAGUGACAUAACAAAAUUUUCAGACGAUGACUGCAUUUCAAGAAGCUGGUCACUAAGAAGCUUCGCAUUCUGCUGUAGCUUCUGGAUGUAAGUAAUUGCAUCCUCAAUUACGGUCGCCUUGUUCAUC
Long non-coding RNA from Hevea brasiliensis (rubber tree), 700 nucleotides. RefSeq lists it as uncharacterized. The record is from RefSeq and is a predicted model, not a curated record. The transcript has 4 exons. Lineage: Eukaryota; Viridiplantae; Streptophyta; Magnoliopsida; Malpighiales; Euphorbiaceae.